This 59-nucleotide non-coding RNA is filed under the name Clostridium cellulovorans. Its description in RNAcentral is "Fluoride sequence". It matches the Rfam family "Fluoride riboswitch aptamer (crcB RNA motif)". Lineage: Bacteria; Bacillati; Bacillota; Clostridia; Eubacteriales; Clostridiaceae. RNAcentral also lists the same sequence under 1 other name. The record is from RNAcentral.
AAAUUUAUAGGUGAUGGAGUUCACCUUAAUCGCUUGAUGCUAAUGACUCCUACAGGUAA